GUAACACGUGGGCAAUAUGCACCUUCACUCUGGGACAAGCCCUGGAAACGGGGUCUAAUACCGGAUAAUACUCCUGCCUGCAUGGGCGGGGGUUAAAAGCUCCGGCGGUGAAGGAUGAGCCCGCGGCCUAUCAGCUUGUUGGUGGGGUAAUGGCCCACCAAGGCGACGACGGGUAGCCGGCCUGAGAGGGCGACCGGCCACACUGGGACUGAGACACGGCCCAGACUCCUACGGGAGGCAGCAGUGGGGAAUAUUCGCACAAUGGGCGAAAGCCUGAUGCAGCGACGCCGCGUGAGGGAUGACGGCCUUCGGGUUGUAAACCUCUUUCAGCAGGGAAGACAGCGAAAUGUGACGGUACCUGCA
Molecule: ribosomal RNA, 363 nt
Filed under: Streptomyces sp. RR2
Lineage: Bacteria; Bacillati; Actinomycetota; Actinomycetes; Kitasatosporales; Streptomycetaceae
Description: bacterial SSU rRNA
Rfam family: Bacterial small subunit ribosomal RNA
Source: RNAcentral